RNAcentral lists this unclassified non-coding RNA (263 nucleotides) under plant metagenome. RNAcentral describes it as "partial contains small subunit ribosomal RNA, internal transcribed spacer 1, and 5.8S ribosomal RNA". The record is from RNAcentral.
UUUCCGUAGGUGAACCUGCGGAAGGAUCAUUAUUGUAUAACCGAGGUGCGAGACCUCUGGCUGCCCCCAUAUGUAGUUCCCGCCCGACUGCCCUCACACACACCCAUCUCACCCCUAUGGACACCACCGCGCGCGUCCCGCUUUGACUUGUUCGGAGGGGGGCAUGCGUUCUCCCACAAACUAUGUAUGAAGUGUAGAAUGUAUUUUUUGUUUGGGCGAUCACGAAAUCAAUACAACUUUCAACAACGGAUCUCUUGGCUCUG